Molecule: ribosomal RNA, 297 nt
Filed under: Glaesserella parasuis
Lineage: Bacteria; Pseudomonadati; Pseudomonadota; Gammaproteobacteria; Pasteurellales; Pasteurellaceae
Description: partial 16S ribosomal RNA
Rfam family: Bacterial small subunit ribosomal RNA
Source: RNAcentral
UUAAAUUGAAGAGUUUGAUCAUGGCUCAGAUUGAACGCUGGCGGCAGGCUUAACACAUGCAAGUCGAACGGUAGCAGGAAGAGGCUUGCUUCUUUGCUGACGAGUGGCGGACGGGUGAGUAAUGCUUGGGAAUCUGGCUUAUGGAGGGGGAUAACUACGGGAAACUGUAGCUAAUACCGCGUAAUAUCUUCGGAUUAAAGGGUGGGACUUUCGGGCCACCUGCCAUAAGAUGAGCCCAAGUGGGAUUAGGUAGUUGGUGGGGUAAAGGCCUACCAAGCCGACGAUCUCUAGCUGGUC